AGACACCGGCGUAAAGUGUGGUUAAGAAACAUUCAGUAAACUAGAGCCGAACGCUUUCAAGGCUGUUAUACGCACCCGAAAGUAAGAAGCACAACAACGAAAGUGGCUCUACUAACUCUGAACCCACGAAAGCUAAGGCACAAACUGGGAUUAGAUACCCCACUAUGCCUAGCCUUAAACAUUGACGGCUUAUUACCUAAACCGUCCGCCAGGGUACUACGAGCAUUAGCUUAAAACCCAAAGGACUUGGCGGUGCUUUAGAUCCACCUAGAGGAGCCUGUUCUAGAACCGAUAACCCCCGUUCAACCUCACCCUCCCUUGUUCAACCCGCCUAUAUACCACCGUCGUCAGCUUAUCCUGUGAAGGAUAAAUAAUAAGCAAAAUUGGUAAAACCCAAAACGUCAGGUCGAGGUGUAGCGUACGGAAGGGGAAGCAAUGGGCUACAUUACCUACCUCAGGUAAUCACGGACGAUAUAUUGAAAGACAUAUCUAAAGGAGGAUUUAGUAGUAAGAGAAGAAUAGAGAGCUUCCCUGAAACUGGCCCUGAAGCGCGCACACACCGCCCGUCACUCUCCCCAAGCUAUUCUAAUCCUAUAACUAAUUCACUAAUCCUGCU
Molecule: ribosomal RNA, 616 nt
Filed under: Pseudobalistes fuscus (yellow-spotted triggerfish)
Lineage: Eukaryota; Metazoa; Chordata; Actinopteri; Tetraodontiformes; Balistidae
Description: partial small subunit ribosomal RNA
Rfam family: Bacterial small subunit ribosomal RNA
Source: RNAcentral